CCACCUCUGCACAGGAAUUAACAGGGUGAAAGUGAGAACUUCCUUUGGCAUCCUGUCUUUGUGGUGCUGCCAUUCCUGUUGAAUGCAGUCUCAGUGAUUUGUGCUGGCUGGAUUCACAUGUGGCAUCUCGUUGAUCAGGAAGUUUUCCAGAGCAUGAUCCAAGAUGAAUCUGAAUAGAUGUCAUCAGCAAUUUAUCCAUUAAUCACAAAGACCAAUAUCUCAAUUUAGGUGUCAAAGAGUAGCUAUUAGAAACCCUCUCCCCUUUCCUGGAAGUGAUACAGAGCCACUUGUGGCCUGAGACAUUUGUUCUUAUA
Molecule: long non-coding RNA, 314 nt
Filed under: Cyanistes caeruleus (blue tit)
Lineage: Eukaryota; Metazoa; Chordata; Aves; Passeriformes; Paridae
Description: lncRNA (ENSCCEG00000018986.1)
Source: RNAcentral